This is a non-coding RNA of Schistosoma mattheei, 45 nucleotides long. The record is from Rfam. Lineage: Eukaryota; Metazoa; Platyhelminthes; Trematoda; Strigeidida; Schistosomatidae.
AUUUAGCUGACGAGUUGGAUAUAGGACGAAACUAUUGUCCUGAAU